CCUACGGGUGGCAGCAGUGGGGAAUAUUGGUCCAUGGACGCAAGUCUGACCCAGCAACGCCGCGUGAAGGAAGAAGGCUUUCGGGUUGUAAACUUCUUUUAAGGGGGAAGAGCAGAAGACGGUACCCCUUAAAUAAGCCACAGCUAACUACGUGCCAGCAGCCGCGGUAAGAAGGAGGUGGCACGCGUUUUCCGGAUUUACUGGGGGCAAAGGGCGUGCAGCCGGGAAGACAAGUCAGAUGUGAAAUCCCGCGGCUCAACCGCGGAACUGCAUUUGAAACUGUUUUUCUUGAGUAUCGGAGAGGUAAUCGGAAUUCCUAGUGUAGCGGUGAAAUGCGUAGAUAUUAGGAAGAACAC
Molecule: ribosomal RNA, 356 nt
Filed under: uncultured bacterium
Lineage: Bacteria
Description: partial 16S ribosomal RNA
Rfam family: Bacterial small subunit ribosomal RNA
Source: RNAcentral